Molecule: transfer RNA, 72 nt
Filed under: Camelus bactrianus (Bactrian camel)
Lineage: Eukaryota; Metazoa; Chordata; Mammalia; Artiodactyla; Camelidae
Also listed under: 2 other names
Rfam family: tRNA
About the family: Transfer RNA (tRNA) molecules are approximately 80 nucleotides in length. Their secondary structure includes four short double-helical elements and three loops (D, anti-codon, and T loops).
Source: Rfam by way of RNAcentral
GAAGGUAUAGCUUGGUGGUAGAACGCAUGCCUAGCAUGCAUGAGGUCCUGGGUUCAAUCCCUAGCACCUCUA